GGGUUGUGAGGUUAAGCGACUAAGCGUACACGGUGGAUGCCUAGGCAAUCAGAGGCGAUGAAGGACGUGCUAAUCUGCGAUAAGCGUCGGUAAGGUGAUAUGAACCGUUACAACCGACGAUUUCCGAAUGGGGAAACCCAGUGCAAUUCGUUGCACUAUCGUUUGAUGAAUACAUAGUCAAACGAAGCGAACCGGGGGAACUGAAACAUCUCAGUACCCCGAGGAAAAGAAAUCAACCGAGAUUCCCCUAGUAGCGGCGAGCGAACGGGGAGCAGCCCAGAGUCUUAAUCAGCAUUAGCAUCAGGAGAACGGUCUGGAAAGUCCGGCAGUAAAGGGUGAUAGCCCCGUAUCCGAAGGUGUUAGUGUUGUGAACUCGACGAGUAGGGCGGGACACGUGUUAUCCUGUCUGAAUAUGGGGGGACCAUCCUCCAAGGCUAAAUACUCCUGAUUGACCGAUAGUGAACCAGUACCGUGAGGGAAAGGCGAAAAGAACCCCGGCGAGGGGAGUGAAAUAGAACCUGAAACCGUGUACGUACAAGCAGUGGGAGCCCCAUCACUCAAGUGCCUCGGCAAUUGAGUGAUGGCUUAACAACCACCACAAGAGCAGCGCAGAAUUUGCUAACAAGAUUGGUCGAUUUUUUCAAGCCGUCGCGCAGUGUACAUAGAAGUACACGAGCAACGGAAGUUAAAAAAUCGGGCAAGAUUGGCCGCAAAGACAAGCGGGACAUUUGAGGAUGGGGUGACUGCGUACCUUUUGUAUAAUGGGUCAGCGACUUAUAUUCUGUAGCAAGGUUAACCGUAUAGGGGAGCCGUAGGGAAACCGAGUCUUAACUGGGCGAAUAAGUUGCAGGGUAUAGACCCGAAACCCGGUGAUCUAGCCAUGGGCAGGUUGAAGGUUGGGUAACACUAACUGGAGGACCGAACCGACUAAUGUUGAAAAAUUAGCGGAUGACUUGUGGCUGGGGGUGAAAGGCCAAUCAAACCGGGAGAUAGCUGGUUCUCCCCGAAAGCUAUUUAGGUAGCGCCUCGUGAACUCAUCUUCGGGGGUAGAGCACUGUUUCGACUAGGGGGUCAUCCCGACUUACCAACUCGAUGCAAACUACGAAUACCGAAGAAUGUUAUCACGGGAGACACACGGCGGGUGCUAACGUUCGUCGUGAAGAGGGAAACAACCCAGACCGCCAGCUAAGGUCCCAAAGUCAUAGUUAAGUGGGAAACGAAGUGGGAAGGCUCAGACAGCCAGGAUGUUGGCUUAGAAGCAGCCAUCAUUUAAAGAAAGCGUAAUAGCUCACUGGUCGAGUCGGCCUGCGCGGAAGAUGUAACGGGGCUAAACUAUGCACCGAAGCUGCGGCAGCGAUAUGUAAAUAUUGUUGGGUAGGGGAGCGUUCUGUAAGCCUGUGAAGGUGUGCUGUGAGGCAUGCUGGAGGUAUCAGAAGUGCGAAUGCUGACAUAAGUAACGAUAAUGCGGGUGAAAAACCCGCACGCCGGAAGACCAAGGGUUCCUGUCCAACGUUAAUCGGGGCAGGGUGAGUCGACCCCUAAGGCGAGGCAGAAAUGCGUAGUCGAUGGGAAACGGGUUAAUAUUCCCGUACUGGUGAUAAUUGCGAUGGGGGGACGGAGAAGGCUAGGCUAUCCGGGCGACGGUUGUCCCGGUUUAAGGAUGUAGGCAGGUGAAUUAGGCAAAUCCGGUUCACUAUAUGCUGAGGUCCGAUGACGAGUCACUACGGUGAUGAAGUAGCUCAUGCCCCGCUUCCAGGAAAAGCCUCUAAGCUCUAGAUUAUCAUUAAUCGUACCCCAAACCGACACAGGUGGUCAGGUAGAGAAUACUCAGGCGCUUGAGAGAACUCGGGUGAAGGAACUAGGCAAAAUGGUGCCGUAACUUCGGGAGAAGGCACGCUGGCAUUAGGUGAAGUGAUUUACUCAUGGAGCUGAAGCCAGUCGCAGAUACCAGCUGGCUGCAACUGUUUAUUAAAAACACAGCACUGUGCAAACACGAAAGUGGACGUAUACGGUGUGACGCCUGCCCGGUGCUGGAAGGUUAAUUGAUGGGGUUAUCCGUAAGGAGAAGCUCUUGAUCGAAGCCCCAGUAAACGGCGGCCGUAACUAUAACGGUCCUAAGGUAGCGAAAUUCCUUGUCGGGUAAGUUCCGACCUGCACGAAUGGCGUAAUGAUGGCCAGGCUGUCUCCACCCGAGACUCAGUGAAAUUGAACUCGCUGUGAAGAUGCAGUGUACCCGCGGCAAGACGGAAAGACCCCGUGAACCUUUACUAUAGCUUGACACUGAACAUUGAGCCUUGAUGUGUAGGAUAGGUGGGAGGCUUUGAAGCGUGGACGCCAGUCUGCGUGGAGCCAACCUUGAAAUACCACCCUUUAAUGUUUGAUGUUCUAACGUUGCCCCAUUAUCUGGGGUGCGGACAGUGUCUGGUGGGUAGUUUGACUGGGGCGGUCUCCUCCCAAAGAGUAACGGAGGAGCACGAAGGUUGGCUAAGCAUGGUCGGACAUCAUGCGGUUAGUGCAAAGGCAUAAGCCAGCUUGACUGCGAGAGUGACGGCUCGAGCAGGUACGAAAGUAGGUCUUAGUGAUCCGGUGGUUCUGAAUGGAAGGGCCAUCGCUCAACGGAUAAAAGGUACUCCGGGGAUAACAGGCUGAUACCGCCCAAGAGUUCAUAUCGACGGCGGUGUUUGGCACCUCGAUGUCGGCUCAUCACAUCCUGGGGCUGAAGUAGGUCCCAAGGGUACGGCUGUUCGCCGUUUAAAGUGGUACGCGAGCUGGGUUUAGAACGUCGUGAGACAGUUCGGUCCCUAUCUGCCGUGGGCGUUGGAAGAUUGAAAGGGGCUGCUCCUAGUACGAGAGGACCGGAGUGGACGCACCACUGGUGUUCGGGUUGUCAUGCCAAUGGCAUUGCCCGGUAGCUAAGUGCGGAAGAGAUAACCGCUGAAAGCAUCUAAGCGGGAAACUUGCCUUGAGAUGAGUCUUCCCUGACUCUUUAAGAGUCCUAAAGGAACGUUUAAGACUAAGACGUUGAUAGGUUGGGUGUGUAAGCGUAGCGAUACGUUGAGCUAACCAAUACUAAUGAACCGUGAGGCUUAACCUGACAACACCGAAGGUGUUUUAG
This 3115-nucleotide ribosomal RNA is filed under the name Providencia rettgeri. Its description in RNAcentral is "bacterial LSU rRNA". It matches the Rfam family "Bacterial large subunit ribosomal RNA". The record is from RNAcentral. Lineage: Bacteria; Pseudomonadati; Pseudomonadota; Gammaproteobacteria; Enterobacterales; Morganellaceae.